Molecule: ribosomal RNA, 325 nt
Filed under: uncultured Bacteroidota bacterium
Lineage: Bacteria; Pseudomonadati; Bacteroidota
Description: bacterial SSU rRNA
Rfam family: Bacterial small subunit ribosomal RNA
Source: RNAcentral
GACGAACGCUGGCGGCGGGCUUAACACAUGCAAGUCGUAGGGUAACCCGGAGCAAUCCGGGCUAGACUGGCGCACGGGUGAGUAACACGUAGGUAACCUGCCAUCGGGAGGGGGAUAACACACCGAAAGGUGUGCUAAUACCGCAUAAUGCAGCGGGGUCGCAUGACCAUAGUUGUUAAAGGGGAAACCUGCCUGAUGAUGGACCUGCGUCGUAUUAGCUAGUUGGUAGGGUAACGGCCUACCAAGGCAAUGAUACGUAGCUGUUCUGAGAGGAUGAUCAGCCACACGGGGACUGAGACACGGCCCCGACUCCUACGGGAGGCAG